This 345-nucleotide unclassified non-coding RNA is filed under the name soil metagenome. Its description in RNAcentral is "partial contains 5.8S ribosomal RNA, internal transcribed spacer 2, and large subunit ribosomal RNA". The stretch from base 1 to 120 matches the Rfam family "5.8S ribosomal RNA", at positions 35 to 154 of the family's 154-position model. The record is from RNAcentral.
GAUGAAGAACGUAGCGAAAUGCGAUACGUAAUGUGAAUUGCAGAAUUCAGUGAAUCAUCGAGUCUUUGACCGCACAUUGCGCCCCCUGGUAUUCCGGGGGGCAUGCCUGUCCGAGCGUCAUUGCUGCCCUCAAGCACGGCUUGUGUGUUGGGCCUCCGUCCUCCUCCCGGGGGACGGGCCCGAAAGGCAGCGGCGGCACCGCGUCCGGUCCUCGAGCGUAUGGGGCUUCGUCACCCGCUCUUGUAGGCCCGGCCGGCGCUUGCCGACACAUCAAUCUUUUUUCCAGGUUGACCUCGGAUCAGGUAGGGAUACCCGCUGAACUUAAGCAUAUCAAUAAGCGGAGGA